CUACGUGCAAUUUAUGUAUAGUUGACCGGGAAAUUAAAGCAGCGAUCACUUGGACUAUUCCGCAGCACCCCUCUCACAUUGGUACACCCCCCCCCCCCCCUCCCCCGGUAUUCAUUGUCUUCUACAGUAGAGCGGGACAUUUAAUUUACUCUCAGCGGAAUUGACCGGAGAAGGCAUCAGUUCAUGCACUGCACUGGCCUGCACCACGAUUAGUAUAAGGCACAUUUCACGAAGCAGAACGCAGUCUUCAGAGAUAUCCAUGUGAACGCUGUGAUACGUCUGACCUUCAGUCCGAAGAAGAAACCCAGACCAGUCUUAAAAGAAAGCACAAACCAAAUCCCCUGUACACAUAUACGGACUCAGAGGAUGAGCAGCCUACAAAAAAACGGUUUCCCCAGGCCCCUCGAGUGA
Pelmatolapia mariae (spotted tilapia) is the source of this 411-nucleotide long non-coding RNA. RefSeq lists it as uncharacterized. The record is from RefSeq and is a predicted model, not a curated record. NCBI's taxonomy places the organism in Eukaryota, Metazoa, Chordata, Actinopteri, Cichliformes, Cichlidae. The transcript is spliced from 3 exons.